Molecule: ribosomal RNA, 459 nt
Filed under: uncultured bacterium
Lineage: Bacteria
Description: partial 16S ribosomal RNA
Rfam family: Bacterial small subunit ribosomal RNA
Source: RNAcentral
CCUACGGGAGGCAGCAGUGAGGAAUAUUGGUCAAUGGCCGGAAGGCUGAACCAGCCAAGCCGCGUGAAGGACGAAGGUGCCAAGCAUUUUAAACUUCUUUUGUCAAGGGACAAAAUCAGGCUCGAGAGCCUGACCGAGGGUACUUGAAGAAAAAGCAUCGGCUAACUCCGUGCCAGCGACCGCGGUAAUACGGAGGAGGCGAGGGUUAUCCGGAUUGAUUGGGUUAAAAGGGUGCGUAGGGGGACUGUUAAGUCAGCGGUAAAAGCCCGGGGCUCAACCCCGGCGAGCCGUUGAAACUGGCUGUCUUGAGAUGUCGAGGGGUAUGCGGAAUGCGCAGUGUAGCGGUGAAAUGCUUAGAGAUGGCGAAGAACUCCGAUUGCGAAGGCAGCAUACCGGCGGCGAUCUGACGCUGAGGCACGAAAGCGUGGGUAUCGAACAGGAUUAGAUACCCGAGUAGUC